RNAcentral lists this ribosomal RNA (372 nucleotides) under uncultured bacterium. RNAcentral describes it as "bacterial SSU rRNA". It matches the Rfam family "Bacterial small subunit ribosomal RNA", at positions 28 to 401 of the family's 1533-position model. The record is from RNAcentral.
GACGAACGCUGGCGGCGUGCUUAACACAUGCAAGUCGAGCGGUAAGGCCCUUUCGGGGGCACACGAGCGGCGAACGGGUGAGUAACACGUGGGUGACCUGCCCUUAGCUCUGGGAUAAGCCUGGGAAACUGGGUCUAAUACCGGAUAUGACUCCAUAACGCAUGUUGUGGGGUGGAAAGCCUUGUGCGGCUAGGGAUGGGCCCGCGGCCUAUCAGCUUGUUGGUGGGGUGAUGGCCUACCAAGGCGACGACGGGUAGCCGGCCUGAGAGGGCGACCGGCCACACUGGGACUGGGACACGGCCCAGACUCCUACGGGAGGCAGCAGUGGGGAAUCUUGCGCAAUGGGCGAAAGCCUGACGCAGCGACGCCGCG